This 669-nucleotide ribosomal RNA is filed under the name Escherichia coli. RNAcentral's name for it is "partial 23S ribosomal RNA". It matches the Rfam family "Bacterial large subunit ribosomal RNA", at positions 612 to 1280 of the family's 2925-position model. The record is from RNAcentral. Lineage: Bacteria; Pseudomonadati; Pseudomonadota; Gammaproteobacteria; Enterobacterales; Enterobacteriaceae.
AUAAUGGGUCAGCGACUUAUAUUCUGUAGCAAGGUUAACCGAAUAGGGGAGCCGAAGGGAAACCGAGUCUUAACUGGGCGUUAAGUUGCAGGGUAUAGACCCGAAACCCGGUGAUCUAGCCAUGGGCAGGUUGAAGGUUGGGUAACACUAACUGGAGGACCGAACCGACUAAUGUUGAAAAAUUAGCGGAUGACUUGUGGCUGGGGGUGAAAGGCCAAUCAAACCGGGAGAUAGCUGGUUCUCCCCGAAAGCUAUUUAGGUAGCGCCUCGUGAAUUCAUCUCCGGGGGUAGAGCACUGUUUCGGCAAGGGGGUCAUCCCGACUUACCAACCCGAUGCAAACUGCGAAUACCGGAGAAUGUUAUCACGGGAGACACACGGCGGGUGCUAACGUCCGUCGUGAAGAGGGAAACAACCCAGACCGCCAGCUAAGGUCCCAAAGUCAUGGUUAAGUGGGAAACGAUGUGGGAAGGCCCAGACAGCCAGGAUGUUGGCUUAGAAGCAGCCAUCAUUUAAAGAAAGCGUAAUAGCUCACUGGUCGAGUCGGCCUGCGCGGAAGAUGUAACGGGGCUAAACCAUGCACCGAAGCUGCGGCAGCGACGCUGAUGCGUUGUUGGGUAGGGGAGCGUUCUGUAAGCCUGCGAAGGUGUGCUGUGAGGCAUGCUGGAGGU